This is a long non-coding RNA of Rhipicephalus microplus (southern cattle tick), 517 nucleotides long. NCBI's taxonomy places the organism in Eukaryota, Metazoa, Arthropoda, Arachnida, Ixodida, Ixodidae. The record is from RefSeq and is a predicted model, not a curated record.
UUCGCGAGUCGGACAUGGCACUGCUGGGCAAGGUGGAUUUCGCCGAACACACAUGACCAGGUGACCAUGGCAAAGACGGCGACCACGUGCUGGUCUUUCUGUUUCGGCCUUUUCUGGGAGGGUGGUCACAAACUGUGGGCACAUUUUGUGCUUCUGGUGCUGCCCCAGGAUCAAUCGUGGCGAAGCUCCUUUUGCAGUGCAUUGUUCACCUUACAAACGCUGGUGUUGUUGUUGACGCAGUGACCUGCGACAACUCCACAUCAAACCAAUCAGCCUUGAGAUCUCUGGGUGUCAACGGGGACAUGCACAAGCUUCAAACGUGUUUUGAACACCCGUGUGAGCCCUCAAAGCAAGUCCACGUUGUAAUUGAUCCACCGCACAUAUUUAAGUGCAUCAGAAACAACUUGCUCAAAGUGGGCAAGUUUUUGCUCCCUCAAGGACAGGAGGUGUUCCACUGUCACUACAAGGACUUACUGGACUAUGAAGAAGAACAGGCUGGACUCCGGGCUGUACCGAA